Long non-coding RNA from Phyllopteryx taeniolatus (common seadragon), 961 nucleotides. RefSeq lists it as uncharacterized. The record is from RefSeq and is a predicted model, not a curated record. The transcript has 3 exons. NCBI's taxonomy places the organism in Eukaryota, Metazoa, Chordata, Actinopteri, Syngnathiformes, Syngnathidae.
UGCGAAAAGAGGAAGAAAGGAGAUAUUUGUGUGGACUGACAGGAUAGACCUUUUGCUUCAGAACGAAAGUCCAGAUCACUGCCAAGUGAUGGGACGAACAACACUGGUGCGUCAGCACUGUGGCGAGCGCACAAGAGUGGAAUCCCGUAUUGAUUUGUUGGAUGGAGUUUUGCUGUUGCUGUUGGAUUUUGGAAUUUUGCUUGCCCUCACCUUGUUCCACUGACUUCAUGGAUCGUUCCAAGACGUUGUGGUUCCAGUGACUUGAACGAAAUGCUAUUACAGUAUUUCAUCAAGAUGAUGCUGACUUAAAUAUCAUGUACCUGAAAGCAUAUGGCUUAUCACUAGCAUGAAAAGAGCCAGAGAAACUUGUCAACUAGCAGCAUGUUUUUAACUGUGCUGAAAAUGUGGUUUUGUUUUAUUUCACAGGCAACCAUGUUGAGUAUCAAUUAUUUAAACAGUACAUGCCAACAAAGCAACCACAAAGACCAAGAUGUGUUCUUAUCCUGCCUGGUGAGAGACAAACAGACAGGCAGACAGACGGCCGCACGGACAGAUAGACAGAUGGACGCACAGACAGGCAGUCUCGACAGACAGACAGACAGACAGACAGGCACACACACGCCACAGUAGUAUACACAAUAGUAAUUCCAGCAAUACCCAUUAAACACCUCUAGGUAACAGUUAGGCUCUACAAAAACAUUCUUGAACUGAAAACUACAGGUGCACAAUAAUACUAAACAUAUUGUUAAAUUAAUGCCUAUGACAGUUUCCAUUAAAAGUUAUUAUUAUAUUUUUGAAGUAUAUAAUUCUAAUACAGCUCUUUAUCUAGCUAUCUCAUUGGACGGGACAACAUUUUUUUGUUGUAUCACACUUCAUGAUGCUUAUGUCAGCUUUUUCUUGCACCAGGGUUAAAACAUUAUUAAUUUCAUUCUAAAUGUGCAAUAUGAAAACAUGGUUUCCU